AACGCAUAUUGCACUCGUGUGCUUCGGCACCGAGUAUGCUUCUUUCAGUGUCAUUGACUACCAUCUCACCCUCAACUUGGGGGUGGUCUAUGGGCGUCACGGCUGAUCCACAUUAGCCGGGUCGCUCCAAGCAAAGAGGCGUUGCACCUCGCACACACCAAACGCAACCGACGUAGCAAGUAGGCGCGCAAGCGUCGCACUCUCGUCGAAGCGGUGCGAGAAGGUGAUUGCGGGUCGAGGAAUGAAAUCUUCGGUUUCCUCAACUGGAAGCUUGACUAAAAAGAAAGUAGGGCUACCCGCCGAACUUAA
This 309-nucleotide unclassified non-coding RNA is filed under the name uncultured fungus. Its description in RNAcentral is "partial contains 5.8S rRNA and ITS2". The record is from RNAcentral. Lineage: Eukaryota; Fungi.